Molecule: ribosomal RNA, 253 nt
Filed under: uncultured bacterium
Lineage: Bacteria
Description: partial 16S ribosomal RNA
Rfam family: Bacterial small subunit ribosomal RNA
Source: RNAcentral
UACGUAGGGGGCUAGCGUUGUCCGGAAUCAUUGGGCGUAAAGAGCGUGUAGGCGGCUCGGUAAGUCCGCUGUGAAAGUCGGGGGCUCAACCCUCGAAUGCCGGUGGAUACUGUCGAGCUAGAGUGCGGAAGAGGCGAGUGGAAUUCCUGGUGUAGCGGUGAAAUGCGCAGAUAUCAGGAGGAACACCGAUUGCGAAGGCAGCUCGCUGGGACGUUACUAACGCUGAGACGCGAAAGCGUGGGGAGCAAACAGG